Molecule: long non-coding RNA, 242 nt
Filed under: Malus domestica (apple)
Lineage: Eukaryota; Viridiplantae; Streptophyta; Magnoliopsida; Rosales; Rosaceae
Description: long non-coding RNA (MDOM_LNC000367)
Source: RNAcentral
UUUUCAAUCAUAUCAUAGAGUAUUCUCCCCCAAACGGUUUGAAGGUUAGAGAUCCCUUGUUGUGCAUUCAAUUGCCUCCAUGGCUAAGUGGCUUAACCCCAACGAUGCCGUGGACACCCGCGGAUGGGGUGACUUUGACAUAAUCAAAGAUCAAGAACUUAACCACAAGACAACUGUGAUGCCUCAGGUCAUAGGACUACUUUGCAUUAUCCCAACCAUGAGUUCUCAUGUGACAUGAAUAU